RNAcentral lists this transfer RNA (72 nucleotides) under Minervarya manoharani. RNAcentral's name for it is "tRNA-Leu". Lineage: Eukaryota; Metazoa; Chordata; Amphibia; Anura; Dicroglossidae. The record is from RNAcentral.
ACUUCCGUAGGAUAACAGCCUUCCGUCGGCUUUAGGAGCCGAAACUUCCUGGUGCAAGCCCAGGCGGUAGUU